AAGUCGUAACAAGGUUUCCGUAGGUGAACCUGCGGAAGGAUCAUUAUUGAUUUGGCUCCGGCCUCAUGACCCUUACUACCCUUCCUGCUGAACCGAUGCCCUCCGGCGUUUUUCAAACAUUGUGUGACGAACGUGAAAAUGAUAAUAAAAUAAAA
RNAcentral lists this unclassified non-coding RNA (155 nucleotides) under plant metagenome. RNAcentral describes it as "partial contains small subunit ribosomal RNA and internal transcribed spacer 1". The stretch from base 1 to 46 matches the Rfam family "Eukaryotic small subunit ribosomal RNA", at positions 1786 to 1831 of the family's 1831-position model. The record is from RNAcentral.